AAACGACUCUCGGCAACGGAUAUCUCGGCUCACGCAUCGAUGAAGAACGUAGCAAAAUACGAUACUUGGUGUGAAUUGCAGAAUCCCGUGAACCAUCGAGUUUUUGAACGCAAGUUGCGCCCUAAGCCAUCCGGUUGAGGGCACGCCUGCCUGGGCGUCACG
RNAcentral lists this ribosomal RNA (162 nucleotides) under Taraxacum sp. JK 3339. Its description in RNAcentral is "5.8S ribosomal RNA". It matches the Rfam family "5.8S ribosomal RNA". Rfam says of the family: 5.8S ribosomal RNA (5.8S rRNA) is a component of the large subunit of the eukaryotic ribosome. The record is from RNAcentral. Lineage: Eukaryota; Viridiplantae; Streptophyta; Magnoliopsida; Asterales; Asteraceae.